GUGCACUGACAAGUGUCUUCAUGAUCCUUUCCUUGAUCUUGGAGUCUCAUUCCAGUGCAAGAAUAAGAUUCCUUCUUGCAGAAAGGUCAGGUUGUAAUGUAGCCUGACCUUUCCUAGAGUUGGAUACAUUG
Molecule: non-coding RNA, 131 nt
Organism: Xenopus laevis (African clawed frog)
Lineage: Eukaryota; Metazoa; Chordata; Amphibia; Anura; Pipidae
Source: Rfam